CAGCCGCCGCGGGAAUACGAAGGGUGCAAGCGUUACUCGGAAUUACUGGGCGUAAAGCGUGCGUAGGUGGUUGUUUAAGUCUGCUGUGAAAGCCCUGGGCUCAACCUGGGAAUUGCAGUGGAUACUGGGCGACUAGAGUAAGGUAGAGGAUAGUGGAAUUUCCGGUGUAGCAGUGAAAUGCGUAGAGAUCGGAAGGAACAUCUGUGGCGAAGGCGACUAUCUGGGCCAUUACUGACACUGAGGCACGAAAGCGUGGGGAGCAAACAGGAUUAGAUACCCCUGUAGUCCCUGUCUCUUAUAC
Molecule: ribosomal RNA, 301 nt
Filed under: uncultured bacterium
Lineage: Bacteria
Description: partial 16S ribosomal RNA
Rfam family: Bacterial small subunit ribosomal RNA
Source: RNAcentral